GUCUAUGACCAUACCUCCCUGAAUGUACCCGAUCUCGUCUGAUCUUGGAAGCUUAGCAGGGUUGGGCCUGGUGAGUUCUUGGGUGGGAAAAUUUUGUAGCUUUUAAAGAGAAAAGCUAGAACUCACC
Molecule: ribosomal RNA, 127 nt
Filed under: Carlito syrichta (Philippine tarsier)
Lineage: Eukaryota; Metazoa; Chordata; Mammalia; Primates; Tarsiidae
Source: RNAcentral